CUGAGCCCGUCGUCAGUCGCGAGUGGAGCGGCAUACCGUUAUCUGAAAGCGGCUGAAGGAAGGCCACUGAGCACAGAAAACCCCCAAGCAGGACGAGGCAGGAGCACGAGAAUUGUGGCCAGCAGCAGAUUGUGCUAAUUUCUGUGUGAAGCAUACUUUUUGGCGCGCAGCUUAUAAUCUGAAUGUCGUCUAAGUGAAUGUGAAAUGUGACAGGCCGCAGUGACAGUUGACAAAAGCCAAGCGACAAAAAGGAGGAAAACCAAACGAUGAAAGCGAGGAACCAAAAGGAGGAAAACCCACACAGUUUGAAAAAAAAAAACAGAUGGAAACAAGUUGCUGUUGAUGCUGGUCCUGGUCCUGCUUCCUGCUUCGAAUCGAGUCCUGUGCUGUGCUGUGUGGGUGCCCCCAGGAGACAUUUAACAUAAUAAAAACGAACGUGUGCGGCAUUUUUGUGCUGCUUUAACAGUAUCUCGCCAACAGUGUAUCUGCAUCUGUGUGCUAAUAACACACAGACACACACACAGAGCCAAACAAACAAUAUGUGUUCAAAUGUGUGCGUGAAGCAGUUGGGAAAAGUGUCGUAAAUCGUUUAGACAGCGAAACGUGGAACCAUCCAAAAACAAAAAACAAAAACAAAAAAAAAAGGGAAAAAAGGAAAAUGGCAGCGGAAACGAUAUGUAAACGACACAGUCGCCGUGGGAAAAACUCAACCAAAAACAAGAACCACAAAUGAAAAACAAGGAGAAAGGACAACCCCACUGCAUUUGUCGCUCAUAUUUGUGCCUUUAAAAUGUGAAACUCUGAAUGAAAUAUUCCUUGCAAAAACGAAAUUUUGAAGACAGUUUGAAGGAGGAUCUUUUCUUGUGACCUUUUGUAUGAUGCCGUGUGAAAUUUUGCAUGAAUAAUUUCCUUCCCCCUUGCAAAACGAUGAUACGACCGAUGAUGUGUGGCCUAUCAAAAAAUUGUGAUGAUAAAUAUAAAAUACUGCCAUAAAUAAACCAAUUUUAUACUAUAUAAAGAAAAAACAAAGAAAAUAAAAUAU
Long non-coding RNA from Drosophila obscura, 1042 nucleotides. RefSeq lists it as uncharacterized. NCBI's taxonomy places the organism in Eukaryota, Metazoa, Arthropoda, Insecta, Diptera, Drosophilidae. The transcript is spliced from 3 exons. The record is from RefSeq and is a predicted model, not a curated record.